UAAGCGGCAUCCGAAAAGCUUAAAGAGUAGGAA
Molecule: non-coding RNA, 33 nt
Organism: Chryseobacterium arachidis
Lineage: Bacteria; Pseudomonadati; Bacteroidota; Flavobacteriia; Flavobacteriales; Weeksellaceae
Source: Rfam